Molecule: ribosomal RNA, 396 nt
Filed under: Yarrowia lipolytica
Lineage: Eukaryota; Fungi; Ascomycota; Dipodascomycetes; Dipodascales
Description: partial ribosomal RNA
Rfam family: 5.8S ribosomal RNA (bases 155-303)
Source: RNAcentral
CAAGAGGUUAUAAAUAAUCCCUACGUCCUAGCUCGGAUUUGGAAGUAAAAAGCGUAACAAGGUUUCCGUAGGUGAACCUGCGGAAGGAUCAUUAUUGAUUUUAUCUAUUUCUGUGGAUUUCUAUUCUAUUACAGCGUCAUUUUAUCUCAAUUAUAACUAUCAACAACGGAUCUCUUGGCUCUCACAUCGAUGAAGAACGCAGCGAACCGCGAUAUUUUUUGUGACUUGCAGAUGUGAAUCAUCAAUCUUUGAACGCACAUUGCGCGGUAUGGCAUUCCGUACCGCACGGAUGGAGGAGCGUGUUCCCUCUGGGAUCGCAUUGCUUUCUUGAAAUGGAUUUUUUUAAACUCUCAAUUAUUACGUCAUUCACCUCCGUCAUCCACGUCGCGAGCUUAU